GAUGAAGAACGCAGCGAAAUGCGAUAAGUAAUGUGAAUUGCAGAAUUCAGUGAAUCAUCGAAUCUUUGAACGCACAUUGCGCCCGCCAGUAUUCUGGCGGGCAUGCCUGUCUGAGCGUCUUUUCAACCCUCAUGCCCCUAGGGCGUGGUGUUGGGGAUCGGCCAAAGCCCGCGAGGGACGGCCGGCCCCUAAAUCUAGUGGCGGACCCGUCGUGGCCUCCUCUGCGAAGUAGUGAUAUUCCGCAUCGGAGAGCGACGAGCCCCUGCCGUUAAACCCCCAACUUUCCAAGGUUGACCUCAGAUCAGGUAGGAAUACCCGCUGAACUUAAGCAUAUCAAUAAGCGGAGGA
RNAcentral lists this unclassified non-coding RNA (348 nucleotides) under soil metagenome. RNAcentral's name for it is "partial contains 5.8S ribosomal RNA, internal transcribed spacer 2, and large subunit ribosomal RNA". The stretch from base 1 to 120 matches the Rfam family "5.8S ribosomal RNA", at positions 35 to 154 of the family's 154-position model. The record is from RNAcentral.